RNAcentral lists this ribosomal RNA (1182 nucleotides) under Triticum aestivum (bread wheat). Its description in RNAcentral is "partial small subunit ribosomal RNA". The record is from RNAcentral. Lineage: Eukaryota; Viridiplantae; Streptophyta; Magnoliopsida; Poales; Poaceae.
AUGGCCAGGGACCGCGAGGCGAGGGCGCGCAGCCGCCAGGCGACCUUUGAGAGCCUGUCGGCCGUCGUCGCCGCCCUCGCCGCACGUGGCCGGCCCGUCACGUGCGUCGUUUGCAGCAUGGUUCUCCCCGCGGCGCUGGACGUCGCGCGUGAGCACGCCAUCCCGCUCGCCGUGUACUGGAUCCAGCCGGCCACCGUGCUCGCCGCGUACUACCACUACUUCCACGGCCACGGCGACCUCGUCGCGUCCCACGCCGCCGACCCCGCGUUCGAGGUGUCCCUGCCCGGCAUGCCCCGCCCGCUCCGGAUCCGCGACUUCCCGUCCUUCCUCGUCGACACCACGGGCAGCGAGCUGGCCAAGCUCAUGAACGAAGCGGCCCGAGAAGUGUUCGAGCGCUUGGGUGAUCACGGCUGCACCAAGGUUCUCGUCAACACUUUCGACGAGCUGGAGCCGGCAGCGCUGGCGGCCAUGAAGGAGCGCCUAGACGUGUUCGCCGUGGGGCCGGUGAUCGGGCCCUCCUCCUCGGCCGAGCCGCGCAUCCACCUGUUCAACCACGCCGGCGCCGACGAGAAGAGGUACAUGGAGUGGCUGGGCGCGGAGGCGGCGAGGUCGGUGGUGUACGUUUCGUUCGGGAGCGUAUGGACGUACACCGAAAAGCAGAUGGAGGAGAUUGCCAACGGGCUGCGCCCGUGCGGGCGGCCGUACCUGCUCGUCGUGCCCAACGAUGGGCGGCAGGAGGACGUGAGCCGGAGCCUGGACGACGUCGUGCUAGAGGGGCUGGGCAUGGUGGUGGAGUGGUGCGACCAGCCGAAGGUCCUGUCGCACCCGUCCGUGGGAUGCUUUGUCACGCACUGCGGCUGGAACUCCGCGCUGGAGGCCAUGUCGCUCGGCGUGCCGGUCGUCGCCGCGCCAAGCUUGUUCGACCAGCGGACGAACGCGUUCCUGAUAGAGGAGGAGUGGGCUGCCGGCGUCAGAGGGGAGCGCAACAGCGAGGGCGUCUUCACUCGGGAGGAGCUCGCGAGGUGCGUGGAGCUGCUCAUGGGUCAUGGCCCAAGGGCCAUUGAAAUCAGGGAAAGAGUAGAGGCUCUGAAAGGGAUGGCGCGAGAGGCCGCGGCUUCAGGCGGGCCGGCGGAGCGGAGCCUCCGAAGCUUUGUCAUGGCGGCCGGUUCAAACAUCGGAUGA